RNAcentral lists this ribosomal RNA (433 nucleotides) under uncultured bacterium. Its description in RNAcentral is "partial 16S ribosomal RNA". It matches the Rfam family "Bacterial small subunit ribosomal RNA", at positions 29 to 507 of the family's 1533-position model. The record is from RNAcentral.
AACGAACGCUGGCGGCAUGCCUAACACAUGCAAGUCGAACGAGACCUUCGGGUCUAGUGGCGCACGGGUGCGUAACGCGUGGGAACCUGCCCUUAAGUUCGGAAUAACUCCCCGAAAGGGGGGCUAAUACCGGAUAAUGUCUUCGGACCAAAGAUUUAUCGCCUUUGGAGGGGCCCGCGUUGGGUUAGCUAGUUGGUAGGGUAAAAGCCUACCAAGGGGACGAUCCAUAGCUGGUCUGAGAGGAUGAUCAGCCACACUGGGACGGAGACACGGCCCAGACUCCUACGGGAGGCAGCAGUGGGGAAUAUUGGACAGUGGGCGAAAGCCUGAUCCAGCAAUGCCGCGUGAGUGAUGAAGGCGUUAGGGUUGUAAAGCUCUUUUACCCGGGAUGAUAAUGACAGUACCGGGAGAAUAAGCGCCGGCUAACUCCGUG